RNAcentral lists this ribosomal RNA (468 nucleotides) under uncultured bacterium. Its description in RNAcentral is "partial 16S ribosomal RNA". It matches the Rfam family "Bacterial small subunit ribosomal RNA", at positions 28 to 507 of the family's 1533-position model. The record is from RNAcentral.
GACGAACGCUGGCGGCGUGCUUAACACAUGCAAGUCGAACGGAAAGGCCCGGCUUUUGUGGGGUGCUCGAGAGGCGAACGGGGGAGUAACACGUGAGUAACGUGCCCUUGACUUUGGGAUAACUUCAGGAAACUGGGGCUAAUACCGGAUAGGAGCUCUUGCUGCAGGGUGGGGGUUGGAAAGUUUCGGCGGUUGGGGAUGGACUCGCGGCUUAUCAGCUUGUUGGUGGGGUAGUGGCUUACGAAGGCUUUGACGGGUAGCCGGCCUGGGAGGGUGACCGGCCACAUUGGGACUGCGCUGCGGCCCAGACUCCUACGGGAGGCAGCAGUGGGGCAUGUUGCACAAUGGGCGGAAGCCUGAUGCGGCAACGCCGCGUGCGGGGUGACGGCCUUCGGGUUGUAAACCGCUUUCGCCUGUGACGAAGCGUGAGUGACGGUAAUGGGUAAAGAAGCACCGGCUAACUACGUG